UGGGGAGUAGCCAAGUGGUAAGGCAGCGGGCUUUGGUCCCGCCAUUCGAGGGUUCGAAUCCUUCCUCCCCAACCA
RNAcentral lists this transfer RNA (75 nucleotides) under Holophagales bacterium. RNAcentral's name for it is "tRNA-Gln". It matches the Rfam family "tRNA". From Rfam's summary of the family: Transfer RNA (tRNA) molecules are approximately 80 nucleotides in length. Their secondary structure includes four short double-helical elements and three loops (D, anti-codon, and T loops). Lineage: Bacteria; Pseudomonadati; Acidobacteriota; Holophagae; Holophagales. The record is from RNAcentral.